Molecule: small nucleolar RNA, 125 nt
Organism: Heterocephalus glaber (naked mole-rat)
Lineage: Eukaryota; Metazoa; Chordata; Mammalia; Rodentia; Bathyergidae
Source: Ensembl
UUCCAGUGUUGAGUUCAGUUCAGGGCAGCUUCCCUGGUCUGUUAAUUAAACUUUGGGACAUUGAAAUGGGCUAUAGGUGAUGACUGGGUAAAAAAUAUUCCAAGUUCAUCUCUGAGCCCACAGAA